UGGUGGAGUGAUUUGUCUGGUUAAUUCCGAUAACGAACGAGACCUUAACCUGCUAAAUAGCCAGGCCGGCUUUUGCUGGUCGCCGGCUUCUUAGAGGGACUGUCAGUGUCUAACUGACGGAAGUUUGAGGCAAUAACA
Molecule: ribosomal RNA, 138 nt
Filed under: uncultured eukaryote
Lineage: Eukaryota
Description: partial 18S ribosomal RNA
Rfam family: Eukaryotic small subunit ribosomal RNA
Source: RNAcentral